UGCUACGGCCAUACCACCCUGAACACAUCCUGAACGCAUCCAAGCUCAUCUGAUCUCAGAAGCUAAGCAGGGUCAGGACUAAUUAGUACUUGGAUGGGAGACCGCUUGGGAAUACCAGAUGCUGUUCGUAG
RNAcentral lists this ribosomal RNA (131 nucleotides) under Peromyscus maniculatus bairdii (prairie deer mouse). Lineage: Eukaryota; Metazoa; Chordata; Mammalia; Rodentia; Cricetidae. The record is from RNAcentral.